Molecule: ribosomal RNA, 492 nt
Filed under: uncultured bacterium
Lineage: Bacteria
Description: partial 16S ribosomal RNA
Rfam family: Bacterial small subunit ribosomal RNA
Source: RNAcentral
AGUGAACGCUGGCGGUAGGCCUAACACAUGCAAGUCGAACGGCAGCACAGUAAGAGCUUGCUCUUACGGGUGGCGAGUGGCGGACGGGUGAGGAAUACAUCGGAAUCUACUUUUUCGUGGGGGAUAACGUAGGGAAACUUACGCUAAUACCGCAUACGACCUACGGGUGAAAGCAGUGGAUCUUCGGACCUUGCGCGAUUGAAUGAGCCGAUGUCGCAUUAGCUAGUUGGCGGGGUAAAGGCCCACCAAGGCGACGAUCCGUAGCUGGUCUGAGAGGAUGAUCGGCCACACUGGAACUGAGACACGGUCCAGACUCCUACGGGAGGCAGCAGUGGGGAAUAUUGGACAAUGGGCGCAAGCCUGACCCAGCCAUACCGCGUGGGUGAAGAAGGCCUUCGGGUUGUAAAGCCCUUUUGUUGGGAAAGAAAAGCAGCAGGUUAAUACCCCGCUGUUCUGACGGUACCCAAAGAAUAAGCACCGGCUAACUACGUG